UCCGAGUUGACCCCGGCAGUCUCCUGCGAGUCCCCGCCAUUACGCGCUGGCAACACAGGACAAGGGUUGCGCUCGUUGCGGGACUUAACCCAACAUCUCACGGCGCGAGCUGACGACAGCCAUGCAGCACCUGUGCUGGCCCCUUACGGAGCCCUGCUUUCACCCGCUUUAACUAGCAUGUCAAGCCUUGGUAAGGUUCUUCGCGUUGCGUCGAAUUAAGCCACAUGCUCCGCUGCUUGUGCGGGCCCCCGUCAAUUCCUUUGAGUUUUAGCCUUGCGGCCGUACUCCCCAGGCGGGGUGCUUAAUGCGUUAGCUGCGGCACGAACGGCGUGGAAUACCGCUCACACCUAGCACCCACCGUUUACGGCGUGGACUAC
This 377-nucleotide unclassified non-coding RNA is filed under the name uncultured Actinomycetes bacterium. RNAcentral describes it as "uncultured actinobacterium contains 16S-23S intergenic spacer region". The record is from RNAcentral. Lineage: Bacteria; Bacillati; Actinomycetota; Actinomycetes.